This is a long non-coding RNA of Cyprinus carpio (common carp), 2403 nucleotides long. Lineage: Eukaryota; Metazoa; Chordata; Actinopteri; Cypriniformes; Cyprinidae. The record is from Ensembl.
AUGUCGGUUCCCAAUUCUAGGUCAGUGUGUCAACUAUCUAGCCCUAUCAUUGACCCAGUGGACCAGCUACUGCACCUUCGGCAAGGAGAUCAAUCUAUUGAGGAGUAUGUUCAGCAGUUCUGUGAGUUAGUAUAUCAAGUUCCUCUAAAUGAUGAAGCUUUGUUUAAGGACUUGUUUCGUUUUGGACUCAAUGAAUCAAUUAAAUCAUGGUUACCUGGAGGGGAAUUUAAUGGCCGUCUAAGAGACAUUAUGGACUAUGCACUCUUGUUAUGUGGUUCUCCUUUCACUGUGGGAGAGGCAGAGGACUUUAAAACCCCAAAGUCUCUCCACGAAAUGGCUACCAGCCCGGAGGCGGUUCACAAAAUGGCCGCCGCUCCUGAGACUCAUCCUGUCAUGGCUAGGUGGUGCCCGAGGCGGUGUCGGAUGCGGUGCCCGAGAUGGUUCCCGAAGCCGAGGCGCUUCACGUCUCCAGAGGCCGUCCAGAGCACCUUCGCGUCUCCACAGGCCGUCCAGAGUCAGGUCAGGUCCCCGCUGACCGUCCAGAGUCAGGUCCCCGCUGACCGUCCAGAGUCAGGUCAGGUCCCCGCGGAUCUUAGUGAACAAGGUCACGCCACCGCGGAUCUUAGUGAACAAGGUCACGCCACCGCGGAUCUUAGUGAACAAGGUCACGCCACCGCGGAUCUUAGUGAACAAGGUCACGCCACCGCGGAUCUUAGUGAACAAGGUCACGCCACCGCGGAUCUUAGUGAACAAGGUCACGCCACCGCGGAUCUUAGUGAACAAGGUCACGCCACCGCGGAUCUUAGUGAACAAGGUCACGCCACCGCGGAUCUUAGUGAACAAGGUCACGCCACCGCGGAUCUUAGUGAACAAGGUCACGCCACCGCGGAUCUUAGUGAACAAGGUCACGCCACCGCGGAUCUUAGUGAACAAGGUCACGCCACCGCGGAUCUUCGUGAACAAGGUCAAGUCACAGUUAAACUUUAUGAGGCCAGUCAAAUCACUACCAAUCUUCCAGAGUUUCAUCAUACCACAACAGAUCAUCCAGAGCCUCAUCACAGCCUGUCAGUUGCACCAAGCAAGGUUCUCUCAGCCUGUUGUAUUGAUGUCAAGGAGACUGUAACUGCUGCAGAACCUUCGGAGGUGUCAGUAGUAUCCAUCCAGGAACUCUCGUCCUGUCCUGUCACGGCCAAGGAGGUCACCCACCAACUCACCGCCCAUCCUGUCACGGCCACGGAGGCCGUCUAUGAACUCAUUGCCUGCCCUGUCAUGGCUAAGGAGGCCGUCUAUGAACUCUCGUCCUACCCUGUCACGGCCAUGGAGACCGGCUGUGAACUCUCUGCCGGCCCUGUCACGGCUAUGGAGACCGUUUGGGAACUCUCUAACCACCUCAUCACGACCUCGGAGGCCGCCAUUAAUCUGUUUAUGUUCUCUGUUUCAGUCCCACCUGACCAGACUUGCUCUCCUGUACCGUUGACUCCACUGUGGUGGUCCUCUGCUUCGCCCUGGUGGGCUUCUGUCUCAUCGGCUCCACUGUGGUGGUCCUCUGCUCCGCCCUGGUGGGCUUCUGUCCCGUCUGCUCAGCUGUGGUGGUCCUCUGCUCCGCCCUGGCGGGCUUCUGUCUCCUCUGCUCAGCUGUGGUGGUCCUCUGCUCCGCCCUGGCGGGCUUCUGUCUCCUCUGGUCGGCUGUGGUGGUUCUCUGCUCCGCCCUGGUCAACUUCUGUCCCGUCUGCUCCGCCCUGGUGGGCUUCUAUCCCAUCUGCUCAGCGGUGGGGGCUCCUUGCUCCGCCCUGGUGGGCUCCAGUUCCGCCUGCUCCGCCCCGGUGGACUCCUGUUCCGUCGGCUCUGCCUUGGUCGCCAGCCAUUCCACUUCCACAUGGACCAGGCCCUCCAUCCCUCCCCCUGUUCCGCCUCCGCUCCACCGCCCUCCAAGACUGUAUAGAGCGUCUGGAAGCCGCUCCUUGUGGGGGGGCUAUGUCACGAUCUCUAGCUGGAGUGCCUGUGAGCUUCAGUAGAGGGCACUCCACUCAGGACUCAUUCAGAACUCCAUUUCCCAUCCUGCCUCACUCCUGGGACUGAUUGCACACACACACCUGCACCUAAUUCCACACACACACCUGCAGCUAAUACACACACACCCAUAUAAGCAGCACACUCACACCAUCACACUGCGAAGUCUUGUUUAGCCCCGUCUAACAUUUCCGAGCGUUUUUCCCUUUGUUCUUCCGUGUCUGACCUUUGGAUUGUGUAUUCUGACUCUGAUUCUCUGCUGCCUGCCCCGAUCUCUGCUUGUUUCUGGUUUCGAUUCUGGUUACCCCUGACAUACCUGACGCCAUUCCUGAUUUCCACCUGUCUGACCACUCUGUUAAUAAAUACUGCAAUUGGAUUCGAACGUCUCUGACU